Molecule: unclassified non-coding RNA, 690 nt
Filed under: Hevea brasiliensis (rubber tree)
Lineage: Eukaryota; Viridiplantae; Streptophyta; Magnoliopsida; Malpighiales; Euphorbiaceae
Source: RNAcentral
UACUUUAUUACUUGUUAGCGAUCCGUGCACUUGCGGUGGUUGUAAAACCAGCAAACACAAAACGGUAACAAUUAGAUUUUAUGCAGGGUUUUUCCAACCAUGUUAAUGGAGCUCACCCAAAAGUGGUACCAACAGCUUCCAAUGGGUUUGAUCGAAAACUUUAACCAGUUAGCGAGUUCUUUUAAGGAAAAGUUUGUUAGUUGCAUCCCUCUGAGGAAACUUUCUUCUAAUAUCAGGAAAGUCAAAUAAAUGGAAGGGGAGUCCCUUUGUGAUUAUAUUUCAAGGUUUAAUGCCGAAGCCAUUCAGAUCAAAAAUCUCAACUACGAAAUGACAUGCGAAGCAGUUAAAAAGGGAUCUAUGGGUUUAUUCAUCUUGGCUACAUAAGUACUAAACCACCAGUUUAGUUCAGCCUUCACAACAUUGGUGAUCUUAAAACGGUCUGUCUUCCCAUGUUUUUUAAGUUUGGCUAUCGAGAUGUCUUCAGUAAGGUUGAGAUUGGCAUUCUUUUCAUCUUAUCAGCCUGAUAGUUCUAAUUUUGAGGAAACCUUUCACAACCAGUCCAUUCCCUGCUUCAGAGAAUAAAGAACCUUCCUUUCCAGUUCUUCAAUGAAAAAGGUAGAUUGGCAAAUAAUUGGCAGUUCGGUUGUGCUUGAAAGAACCAAAACUCUGAGGAAACUUUCUUCUAAUCUU